Molecule: ribosomal RNA, 1149 nt
Filed under: Staphylococcus pseudintermedius
Lineage: Bacteria; Bacillati; Bacillota; Bacilli; Caryophanales; Staphylococcaceae
Description: partial 23S ribosomal RNA
Rfam family: Bacterial large subunit ribosomal RNA
Source: RNAcentral
CCUGAGUACGACGGAGCACGUGAAAUUCCGUCGGAAUCUGGGAGGACCAUCUCCUAAGGCUAAAUACUCUCUAGUGACCGAUAGUGAACCAGUACCGUGAGGGAAAGGUGAAAAGUACCCCGGAAGGGGAGUGAAAGAGAACUUGAAACCGUGUGCUUACAAGUAGUCAGAGCCCGUUAAUGGGUGAUGGCGUGCCUUUUGUAGAAUGAACCGGCGAGUUACGAUCUGAUGCAAGGUUAAGCAGAAAAUGUGGAGCCGUAGCGAAAGCGAGUCUGAAUAGGGCGAAUGAGUAUUUGGUCGUAGACCCGAAACCAGGUGAUCUACCCUUGGUCAGGUUGAAGUUCAGGUAACACUGAAUGGAGGACCGAACCGACUUACGUUGAAAAGUGAGCGGAUGAACUGAGGGUAGCGGAGAAAUUCCAAUCGAACUUGGAGAUAGCUGGUUCUCUCCGAAAUAGCUUUAGGGCUAGCCUCAAGUGAUGAUUAUUGGAGGUAGAGCACUGUUUGGACGAGGGGCCCCUCUCGGGUUACCGAAUUCAGACAAACUCCGAAUGCCAAAUAAUUUAACUUGGGAGUCAGAAUGUGGGUGAUAAGGUCCAUAUUCGAAAGGGAAACAGCCCAGACCACCAGCUAAGGUCCCAAAAUAUAUGUUAAGUGGAAAAGGAUGUGGCGUUGCCCAGACAACUAGGAUGUUGGCUUAGAAGCAGCCAUCAUUUAAAGAGUGCGUAAUAGCUCACUAGUCGAGUGACACUGCGCCGAAAAUGUACCGGGGCUAAACAUAUUACCGAAGCUGUGGAUUGUCCUUUGGACAAUGGUAGGAGAGCGUUCUAAGGGCGUUGAAGCAUGAUCGCAAGGACAUGUGGAGCGCUUAGAAGUGAGAAUGCCGGUGUGAGUAGCGAAAGACGGGUGAGAAUCCCGUCCACCGAUUGACUAAGGUUUCCAGAGGAAGGCUCGUCCGCUCUGGGUUAGUCGGGUCCUAAGCUGAGGCCGACAGGCGUAGGCGAUGGAUAACAGGUUGAUAUUCCUGUACCACCAUUAUUCGUUUUAAGCGAUGGGGGGACGCAGUAGGAUAGGCGAAGCGUGCUGUUGGAGUGCACGUCCAAGCAGUGAGAUUGAGUGUUAGGCAAAUCCGGCACUCUUAAGAUUGAG